AUGGAAGUGACGAUUAUUUCCCCAAAUGAGCGAAGCUGAAUAAACUGAGUGAUCUUUCUCUUUUUAGAGAAUCCAAGCCAGAAAUCUGAUCCAU
Molecule: non-coding RNA, 94 nt
Organism: Populus trichocarpa (black cottonwood)
Lineage: Eukaryota; Viridiplantae; Streptophyta; Magnoliopsida; Malpighiales; Salicaceae
Source: Rfam